Molecule: long non-coding RNA, 570 nt
Organism: Amphiprion ocellaris (clown anemonefish)
Lineage: Eukaryota; Metazoa; Chordata; Actinopteri; Pomacentridae
Exons: 3
Source: RefSeq, a predicted model, not a curated record
UGUUUAUACCUUUUAUUUUUAUAGUAUUUUUUUUUUAUUUUUAGUUUUUUUUUCUAUAACAAACUAAACUGACACUGUUGUGGCUCCAUACAUUUUUUACGUUUUGACGCUGCGUCAAAAAACAAACAUUACGUCACCUGGCGAACCGGCGCGCGCGUGCACACAGGUUGAAAUGAGGUGAGUUUGACCCGCGCGCUCAGGUGCGGAAGACAAAAAAAGGAGGGAAACGUGAACGUGUGUUUGUCUGAAUUCACUGAAUUACAGACACAAGUUUGUGUUUGGAACAAGAACUAAGGAGGAAAACCGCGUCUUGGAAACACGUCAGGCUGUAACUGGAGGUGGAGCAGAGAAAGAGGACAGCCAUGUCCAGAUACAUUACCUUUUGCAUCCCUUUUACUGGAGGAUUUCACUUGCCCUGAACAAGCCUGAAUCCAGGUUGCCCUUCACCUUCAGAAACUCAGCUGGUGAAGGCUCCUGAGGGGGUUUUGGCGCCGGGUAGCUCGGGGGCGGAGGAGGCACCGGGGGACACUGUGGAGGAGGCGGCGGCGGAUACGCUGGAGGCGGCGGCGG